GACGAACGCUGGCGGCGUGCUUAACACAUGCAAGUCGAACGGAAAGGCCCUGCUUUUGUGGGGUGCUCGAGUGGCGAACGGGUGAGUAACACGUGAGUAACCUGCCCUUGACUUUGGGAUAACUUCAGGAAACUGGGGCUAAUACCGGAUAGGAGCUCCUGCUGCAUGGUGGGGGUUGGAAAGUUUCGGCGGUUGGGGAUGGACUCGCGGCUUAUCAGCUUGUUGGUGGGGUAGUGGCUUACCAAGGCUUUGACGGGUAGCCGGCCUGAGAGUGUGACCGGCCACAUUGGGACGGAGAUACGGCCCAGACUCCUACGGGAGGCAGCAGUGGGGAAUAUUGCACAAUGGGCGGAAGCCUAAUGCAGCAACGCCGCGUGCUGGAUGACGGCCUUCGGGUUGUAAACCGCUUUCGCCUGUGACGAAGCGUGAGUGACGGUAAUGGGUAAAGAAGCACCGGCUAACUACGUG
Molecule: ribosomal RNA, 468 nt
Filed under: uncultured bacterium
Lineage: Bacteria
Description: partial 16S ribosomal RNA
Rfam family: Bacterial small subunit ribosomal RNA
Source: RNAcentral